AACGAACGCUGGCGGCAUGCCUAACACAUGCAAGUCGAACGAGACCUUCGGGUCUAGUGGCGCACGGGUGCGUAACGCGUGGGAACCUGCCCUUAGGUUCGGAAUAACUCCCCGAAAGGGGUGCUAAUACCGGAUAAUGUCUUCGGACCAAAGAUUUAUCGCCUUUGGAUGGGCCCGCGUUGGAUUAGCUAGUUGGUAGGGUAAAAGCCUACCAAGGCGACGAUCCAUAGCUGGUCUGAGAGGAUGAUCAGCCACACUGGGACUGAGACACGGCCCAGAAUCCUACGGGAGGCAGCAGUGGGGAAUAUUGGACAAUGGGCGAAAGCCUGAUCCAGCAAUGACGCGUGAGUGAUGAAGGCCUUAGGGUUGUAAAGCUCUUUUACCCGGGAUGAUAAUGACAGUACCGGGAGAAUAAGCUCCGGCUAACUCCGUG
Molecule: ribosomal RNA, 433 nt
Filed under: uncultured bacterium
Lineage: Bacteria
Description: partial 16S ribosomal RNA
Rfam family: Bacterial small subunit ribosomal RNA
Source: RNAcentral